ACAGGGAAUUGGAUUAUUUAGAAGGGGGAUGUUAUGGCUUAUAUCUAGAUGCCCUCCCAAAGCUCAUAUGUGGGCUUGCGGAAGGUGAUUCAAUUAUGGGGGCUUAUAGCUGUGCUGUUAAGAGGUGGAGUCUGGUCAGAAGAAGUAAAUCAGUAGGAGAGGCCUGGAAGGGUUUACCUUACUCCUCAGCUCCUCCCUUCUCUCUCUACUUUCUGGAUGCCAUGAGACGAUCAGCUUUUCUUCUGCCACGCCCCUGUGCCAUGCCAUCCUGCCAUGGAGCCAGAUGAACAUGGUCUGAAAUAUGUUGUCUUCAACUUUCUUGCUUCCUAUGCUACAAGGAAUGAACCUGAUCCUUUCUGUCCUGCAGCUCCAGGUCCAGAAACACAUGUGUAAAAUAUUCUUGAAGAAAAGCAGUGUUCUCAUCACAAAAAUGACAACUAUGUGAGCCAGGCAUGGUGGUGCACGCCUGUGAUCCCAGCACUUGGGAGGCUGUGGCAGGAGGGCUGUCAUGAGUUUGAGGCCAGCCUGAACUACACAGGAAGAUCCUGUCUCAAAAAACAUUAAAAAAUUAAAAUUAUCUUUCUCUUUCAAAUCUUACAACUAAUCCAUACACUGUAAUUUUUAAAGUAGAACAAUUUCCUGGCUUCAAAG
Molecule: long non-coding RNA, 651 nt
Filed under: Heterocephalus glaber (naked mole-rat)
Lineage: Eukaryota; Metazoa; Chordata; Mammalia; Rodentia; Bathyergidae
Description: lncRNA (ENSHGLG00100039660.1)
Source: RNAcentral